UGCAAGUGCAUGUGCACGUUGCUAGGUCAUGUUCCUGGAAUAAGCUUGGUUUUUCUGCAGCAUCUUCUUUUACCUUCUCAAGGCAGGUCUUCCCGUCCUCAGCAUAGAAGUGUUGAAGAGUCACACAUGUCCCAGCCAUGGUUUUUGGUGUCCUUGAUAGGGAGGAAGCCGUGAGGAUUCUAGUGGUCAGAGGAAACUUGGAUGGAUUUUUUUGAUUCAUGAAAUUUCAAGUAAUCCUGGUACAUUGGUUCUUACCAUGGUUUAUGAACGACAUUUUCAUCUCAUUAUACACCAGCAAUCGAGUCCUUUGUCGUAUACAAUUCAUGUACAAAAAAGAAAAAAGAAAAAAGAGGACCAGUGUUUCCAGACAUUGUACAGCUCAUACAGUUCUACUCACAAAAUCUUGGUCUCGAGUGCAAGCUUAGAUUGAAAUGAUACAAAGUAGCAAUUAUGAAAAGAAUAUUGUAUGUAUAAUAGUAAUAAUAAUGGACAUAUAACUGCUGUAGGACGUUCAAUUUGACGUUCUUGUAUUGUUAAUUAAUAAAAAGUGCA
Corticium candelabrum is the source of this 552-nucleotide long non-coding RNA. RefSeq lists it as uncharacterized. NCBI's taxonomy places the organism in Eukaryota, Metazoa, Porifera, Homoscleromorpha, Homosclerophorida, Plakinidae. The transcript has 4 exons. The record is from RefSeq and is a predicted model, not a curated record.